UACGGGGGGAGCAAGCGUUGUUCGGAUUUACUGGGCGUAAAGGGCGCGUAGGCGGCCACCGCAAGUCACUUGUGAAAUCUCCGGGCUCAACCUGGGAAUUGCGAUGGAGACUGCAAGGCUAGAAUCUGGCAGAGGGGGGUAGAAUUCCACGUGUAGCAGUGAAAUGCGUAGAGAUGUGGAGGAACACCGAUGGCGAAGGCAGCCCCCUGGGUCAAGAUUGACGCUCAUGCACGAAAGCGUGGGGAGCAAACAGG
RNAcentral lists this ribosomal RNA (254 nucleotides) under uncultured bacterium. RNAcentral's name for it is "partial 16S ribosomal RNA". It matches the Rfam family "Bacterial small subunit ribosomal RNA", at positions 524 to 776 of the family's 1533-position model. The record is from RNAcentral.